This is a long non-coding RNA of Argiope bruennichi, 856 nucleotides long. RefSeq lists it as uncharacterized. The transcript is spliced from 2 exons. NCBI's taxonomy places the organism in Eukaryota, Metazoa, Arthropoda, Arachnida, Araneae, Araneidae. The record is from RefSeq and is a predicted model, not a curated record.
AGAGGGAGAGCGUCGACUGUUUGGCUAUGCAACUGUGUGUUGCUUCAACAUUUUAACUAUGCCUAUUGGUUAUUUUAGACGGUUUGAAUCUGAGGUCUGAUGCAUAUCUUUGAAUCAAGCGUUUCCUACUGUCAAAGAAAACAUGCAGUUCCUUAUUCCCCAGGAGAUUCGGCGGUCAUAGUGAAUAACUGUGCAAUGAAGCCUGCUGGAAAUCCAUCUGCCGUAGAAAAUUGAAUGACAUAAUGCAACUCUGUUAUUGAAUGGAGACGUCUUUGGAGAAACAGUUUCCUGUAAUUAAAUCUCAGCUUUGGAUUAAUGGAGUAAUCGAAUGCCGCAGCAAAUAAACUCGAGAACAGCUCCCGUCUCUCGAAAUGGAGUUCAGCGUUUCUCUCCAUUAAACAUAUUAGAACAUGUGCGCCGCUUAUACACACUGUAUGUAUGUGUAUAUAUACAGCUUUUGAAUAAGUUUUUAUUCCAACAAAAAUCUGAUAUUGAGAACAAGUUCUGCCUGCGUUCUGCACAGUGUUUUUGCUUUGUUUUCCCUGCUAUUCUUUUUUAUUUGAAAGUCAUAACUUUUAAUUAUAAAAAAUGUGCAAAAUAAUUAUAUUCUUUAUAUUAUUAUAAUGUUACUUGGAGUUAAUUAGUUUCCAAAAUAUGUUCUUAUUACAUGCGAGUUCAUUAAACAUAUAAUGUUUAGACUAGUAUAAGAUGGCCUUCUGUUUAAAAAAAAUAGUCCAAAAUGUUGUGCACAGCAUAGUAUUUCACUUAGGCUACAUAUUUACUUUUUGGGCAGUAUAUUCUCAUUUAAAAUAGGUUUUGUAAAAUUUUAAAUAAACUUUUAAUAAAAAUUUGAUAA